GCAAGUCGAACGGGAAACCUUUUAUUGAAGCUUCGGCAGAUUUAGUUGGUUUCUAGUGGCGGACGGGUGAGUAACGCGUGGGUAACCUGCCUUAUACAGGGGGAUAACAACCAGAAAUGGUUGCUAAUACCGCAUAAGCGCACAGGACCGCAUGGUCCGGUGUGAAAAACUCCGGUGGUAUAAGAUGGACCCGCGUUGGAUUAGCUAGUUGGCAGGGUAACGGCCUACCAAGGCGACGAUCCAUAGCCGGCCUGAGAGGGUGAACGGCCACAUUGGGACUGAGACACGGCCCAGACUCCUACGGGAGGCAGCAGUGGGGAAUAUUGCACAAUGGGGGAAACCCUGAUGCAGCGACGCCGCGUGAAGGAAGAAGUAUUUCGGUAUGUAAACUUCUAUCAGCAGGGAAGAUAGUGACGGUACCUGACUAAGAAGCCCCGGCUAACUACGUGCCAGCAGCCGCGGUAAUACGUAGGGGGCAAGCGUUAUCCGGAUUUACUGGGUGUAAAGGGAGCGUAGACGGACUGGCAAGUCUGAUGUGAAAGGCGGGGGCUCAACCCCUGGACUGCAUUGGAAACUGUUAGUCUUGAGUGCCGGAGAGGUAAGCGGAAUUCCUAGUGUAGCGGUGAAAUGCGUAGAUAUUAGGAGGAACACCAGUGGCGAAGGCGGCUUACUGGA
Molecule: ribosomal RNA, 675 nt
Filed under: uncultured Lachnospiraceae bacterium
Lineage: Bacteria; Bacillati; Bacillota; Clostridia; Lachnospirales; Lachnospiraceae
Description: bacterial SSU rRNA
Rfam family: Bacterial small subunit ribosomal RNA
Source: RNAcentral